UACGUAGGGGGCUAGCGUUAUCCAGAAUUACUGGGCGUAAAGGGUGCGUAGGUGGUUUCUUAAGUCAGAGGUGAAAGGCUACGGCUCAACCGUAGUAAGCCUUUGAAACUGGGAAACUUGAGUGCAGGAGAGGAGAGUGGAAUUCCUAGUGUAGCGGUGAAAUGCGUAGAUAUUAGGAGGAACACCAGUUGCGAAGGCGGCUCUCUGGACUGUAACUGACACUGAGGCACGAAAGCGUGGGGAGCAAACAGGAUUAGAUACCCGGGUAGUCCCUGAG
This 277-nucleotide ribosomal RNA is filed under the name uncultured prokaryote. RNAcentral describes it as "partial 16S ribosomal RNA". It matches the Rfam family "Bacterial small subunit ribosomal RNA", at positions 524 to 801 of the family's 1533-position model. The record is from RNAcentral.